RNAcentral lists this non-coding RNA (267 nucleotides) under Chattonella subsalsa. Lineage: Eukaryota; Raphidophyceae; Chattonellales; Chattonellaceae. The record is from RNAcentral.
UUUUUUUUUUUUUUUUAGUUUAUUUUUUUUCCAUACAUUUUUUUUCUGAACGAAUGUCAAGUAUUUUUUGGUGUUUGGGGGAGGAGGUAUGACAAAGUUGAAAAAAACACACAAAAAAGAAUACCUUCAAGUACAAACCUACUCACUUUUGGUACUUGAUGAAAACAAAGAAAAAAAACAAUUGAAUUGAACUUGUUUCCAUUUCAAGAACUUCUAACUCCUUGUGUUUGGGGGAGGUAUGUAGUGUUCAAUACAUCAGGUUUUGAA